UGAGUUUUCUGAGAGCAUCUCACAUCUAAAACUCCUCCUACUUCUCAUCUUUGAAAGAGUCCAAAUCAAGAAGGAGGCAUCUGAUCGACCAUCGAAGAAGGAUCAGCACAGUACUAGCAUACUGUGCUGAUUUUCUGGACCAAGACUUCUGAUCGUGAUUCGUGGGCUCGUGUGGAUGACUCCUAGAGGCCCGACAUAUG
RNAcentral lists this long non-coding RNA (200 nucleotides) under Elaeis guineensis (African oil palm). RNAcentral describes it as "long non-coding RNA (EGUI_LNC054530)". Lineage: Eukaryota; Viridiplantae; Streptophyta; Magnoliopsida; Arecales; Arecaceae. The record is from RNAcentral.